RNAcentral lists this ribosomal RNA (497 nucleotides) under uncultured bacterium. RNAcentral's name for it is "partial 16S ribosomal RNA". It matches the Rfam family "Bacterial small subunit ribosomal RNA", at positions 28 to 507 of the family's 1533-position model. The record is from RNAcentral.
GAUGAACGCUGGCGGCGUGCCUAAUACAUGCAAGUCGAGCGAACAGACGAGGAGCUUUCUCCUCUGACGUUAGCGGCGGACGGGUGAGUACCACGUGGAUAACCUACCUAUAAGACUGGGAUAACUUCGGGAAACCGGAGCUAAUACCGGAUAAUAUAUUGAACCGCAUGGUUCAAUAGUGAAAGACGGUUUUGCUGUCACUUAUAGAUGGAUCCGCGCCGCAUUAGCUAGUUGGUGAGGUAACGGCUUACCAAGGCAACGAUGCGUAGCCGACCUGAGAGGGUGAUCGGCCACACUGGAACUGAGACACGGUCCAGACUCCUACGGGAGGCAGCAGUAGGGAAUCUUCCGCAAUGGGCGAAAGCCUGACGGAGCAACGCCGCGUGAGUGAUGAAGGUCUUCGGAUCGUAAAACUCUGUUAUUAGGGAAGAACAAAUGUGUAAGUAACUAUGCACGUCUUGACGGUACCUAAUCAGAAAGCCACGGCUAACUACGUG